GAUGAACGCUGGCGGCGUGCCUAAUACAUGCAAGUCGAGCGAACGGACGAGAAGCUUGCUUCUCUGAUGUUAGCGGCGGACGGGUGAGUAACACGUGGAUAACCUACCUAUAAGACUGGGAUAACUUCGGGAAACCGGAGCUAAUACCGGAUGAUAUUUUGAACCGCAUGGUUCAAAAGUGAAAGACGGUCUUGCUGUCACUUAUAGAUGGAUCCGCGCUGCAUUAGCUAGUUGGUAAGGUAACGGCUUACCAAGGCAACGAUGCAUAGCCGACCUGAGAGGGUGAUCGGCCACACUGGAACUGAGACACGGUCCAGACUCCUACGGGAGGCAGCAGUAGGGAAUCUUCCGCAAUGGGCGAAAGCCUGACGGAGCAACGCCGCGUGAGUGAUGAAGGUCUUCGGAUCGUAAAACUCUGUUAUUAGGGAAGAACAUAUGUGUAAGUAACUGUGCACAUCUUGACGGUACCUAAUCAGAAAGCCACGGCUAACUACGUGCCAGCAGCCGCGGUUAUACGUAGGUGGCAAGCGUUAUCCGGAAUUUAUGGGCGUAAAGCGCGCGUAGGCGGUUUUUUAAGUCUGAUGUGAAAGCCCACGGCUCAUUUGUGGAGGGUCAUUGGAAACUGGAAAACUUGAGUGCAGAAGAGGAAAGUGGAAUUCCAUGUGUAGCGGUGAAAUGCGCAGAGAUAUGGAGGAACACCAGUGGCGAAGGCGACUUUCUGGUCUGUAACUGACGCUGAUGUGCGAAAGCGUGGGGAUCAAACAGGAUUAGAUACCCUGGUAGUCCACGCCGUAAACGAUGAGUGCUAAGUGUUAGGGGGUUUCCGCCCCUUAGUGCUGCAGCUAACGCAUUAAGCACUCCGCCUGGGGAGUACGACCGCAAGGUUGAAACUCAAAGGAAUUGACGGGGACCCGCACAAGCGGUGGAGCAUGUGGUUUAAUUCGAAGCAACGCGAAGAACCUUACCAAAUCUUGACAUCCUUUGACAACUCUAGAGAUAGAGCCUUCCCCUUCGGGGGACAAAGUGACAGGUGGUGCAUGGUUGUCGUCAGCUCGUGUCGUGAGAUGUUGGGUUAAGUCCCGCAAACGAGCGCAACCCUUAAGCUUAGUUGCCAUCAUUAAGUUGGGCACUCUAAGUUGACUGCCGGUGACAAACCGGAGGAAGGUGGGGAUGACGUCAAAUCAUCAUGCCCCUUAUGAUUUGGGCUACACACGUGCUACAAUGGACAAUACAAAGGGCAGCGAAACCGCGAGGUCAAGCAAAUCCCAUAAAGUUGUUCUCAGUUCGGAUUGUAGUCUGCAACUCGACUACAUGAAGCUGGAAUCGCUAGUAAUCGUAGAUCAGCAUGCUACGGUGAAUACGUUCCCGGGUCU
RNAcentral lists this ribosomal RNA (1373 nucleotides) under uncultured bacterium. Its description in RNAcentral is "bacterial SSU rRNA". It matches the Rfam family "Bacterial small subunit ribosomal RNA", at positions 28 to 1381 of the family's 1533-position model. The record is from RNAcentral.